This 481-nucleotide ribosomal RNA is filed under the name Selenomonas sp. oral taxon 149. RNAcentral's name for it is "bacterial SSU rRNA". It matches the Rfam family "Bacterial small subunit ribosomal RNA", at positions 28 to 484 of the family's 1533-position model. The record is from RNAcentral. Lineage: Bacteria; Bacillati; Bacillota; Negativicutes; Selenomonadales; Selenomonadaceae.
GACGAACGCUGGCGGCGUGCUUAACACAUGCAAGUCGAACGGAGCGAAUGAAAGCUUGCUUUUAUGAGCUUAGUGGCAAACGGGUGAGUAACACGUAGACAACCUGCCGACAGGAUGGGGACAACAUUCCGAAAGGAAUGCUAAUACCGAAUGAAGUCAGAGGAGGGCAUCCUUCUCUGAUGAAAGAUGGCCUCUUUUUAUGCUAUCACCUGUUGAUGGGUCUGCGUCUGAUUAGCUGGUUGGUGAGGUAACGGCUCACCAAGGCGACGAUCAGUAGCCGGUCUGAGAGGAUGAACGGCCACAUUGGGACUGAGACACGGCCCAGACUCCUACGGGAGGCAGCAGUGGGGAAUCUUCCGCAAUGGGCGCAAGCCUGACGGAGCAACGCCGCGUGAGUGAAGAAGGUCUUCGGAUCGUAAAGCUCUGUUGACGGGGACGAACGUGCGGAGUGCGAAUAGCGCUUUGUAAGACGGUACCUUCG